UUGUGAGGAAGCCUAGGCCCCAGGGAGGGGCCACAUAGAUGUAUUCCAGGCAGCAGCCCCAGCAAAGGUCUCAAUCAACCACCAGUGUGUGAGUGAAGACACCUUCAGAUAAUUUUGCUUCCCAGACAUCAAGUCUUCCAGCUGGGUCCAAGACAUCACAAGGCAGAGACAAGCCCUCCCCUCUGUGCACUGUUGGAAUUCCCCACCCACAGAAACUGUGAGCGUAAAAAAAAGUGAAAGCGGUGUAAAUUGCUCUUAUCUGAACCACAAUGAAUUCACAUAUUCAAGUUGGCUUCUUGGGAAAUUUCAGGCCACAAAUGGCAGUGAUGCGAUCAGGAGCAGCAACACAUGCCACUUCCAUCCAGACAGAAGGACCCCAGGUCAAGGCCUGACAGGAGGAGCAGGAGCCAUCAAUGAGAGCAGACCUCAGAAGGCUGACGGAGGGGAGAGGAGCACCAUCCACAGCCCCAUCCUCUGGAUGCUGUGGGAAGAAGUCCACAAAAUACUGCCCCUCGGAGUGAGUCGAUAGCAGAGCGCUUGCUGCUGGCUGCAAAUACCCCAUCAGAACAUGUUUGGAGUGAUUCUUGGACCUGGUUUCAAUUUCUUUUCUGCCAGUCAGCAGUUGUGCUUGACUCACAAUUUGUUGCCAUCUCCUAAAUUAAACUCAGGAAACAGGAUAAAGAUCAGAACCACAUUG
Cercocebus atys (sooty mangabey) is the source of this 697-nucleotide long non-coding RNA. RefSeq lists it as uncharacterized. NCBI's taxonomy places the organism in Eukaryota, Metazoa, Chordata, Mammalia, Primates, Cercopithecidae. The transcript is spliced from 3 exons. The record is from RefSeq and is a predicted model, not a curated record.